AGUUACAGCCAUACUACCCUGAAUGCGCUCAAUUUCGUUUGGUCUUGGAAGCUAAGCAGGGUCUGAUCUGGUUAGUACUUGGAUGGGAGACAGAUCUUCAGAAGAAAUUGCUC
Molecule: ribosomal RNA, 113 nt
Filed under: Castor canadensis (American beaver)
Lineage: Eukaryota; Metazoa; Chordata; Mammalia; Rodentia; Castoridae
Source: RNAcentral